GUAAAGCAGUAUGUUAAGGGUGGAGAGGGCUGAAAGGGGAAGUUCAUAUGCUAUACAUUUAAACCUAACGGAUAAAAAAAGAGACCUCUGCUAUGAUUCAUAAUAUUAUUCCCAUCCUGUUAGAAAGUAAAAGAACAACUCAGCCUGAGUUGAGGAAGUAUUUCUAUUCCUAAAGGGUUUUCAAGCUUGCAGGCUGUGGGAGAACUGUUAAGGAAAAGUUGACAUCUCAUCAUCCCUGAGAACACUCUCCCACAGCUGUCCCCCUCAAUCUCACUGCCAAAUAUUCCUUCACGUGUCUGUAAUGGCCAACUCCACAGCACAAGCAUUUACUGCAACCUCUGCUGAAAGCAACUUUGACACUUCAUCACUCAUACCUGUUCAUCAAUCAGGACCAUACUUUGAAGCUAUAGUUGGAGGUAAGUGUUGUAACAGCUCACAAAUGUACAAAUAUCCAAUAUGCCCUCAACUUACACACACUUUGAAAUGUGCAGCUUUUGCCUUAAGUCACUAUUUCUACCAGAAAGGUAGAAUGACACCUUGGGGUGAGAAUGUGUUAGAUGACAGUUAGAUGACACAUUGGGAUGAGAAUGUGUUGAUUAUUGUGUUACUUGCAAAAACAAAAACAAAUAAAUAAAAAAAUAAAUAAAUAUUCAGAAUGCAUGGGUGUCAGAGGAGAAAGAUGCGUUUUGCCUCCAGAACAUUUUGAGAGCAGCACAUUGAUGAUGGUCAGAGAGGCUUGGGUGAUUUCAGCACAAAUGAGAGGUAAUUUGUGCACAAGAUGUUUUCUGGCCUCAGAAGAUUCUGUGGCUGAGCAAAAAAAAAAAGAAAAGAAAAGAAAAAGAAAAAACAAGUGCCACUGUGGUCUCACUUUAGCUCAUUUACACAUGAAUAAUCAGUGUGUGGCUUUGUUCUCAUCCACAGAAGCAAUUCGAGUCAGUAAAAUCUCAGCAGGGUUCUGAGGAGCCGUGCACUCAUAACCUAUUUCAGACAACUGGGCAUGCAUAUCAGGAUAUAAAUUAGUGUAUUUCAUUGCUUUCAGUUGUCAAGUCUAUCAAUAUUUUCAUUAGCUAAAUUUACACCUGAAUCUAACUUAUUAUCUUGUUAUCUGAUUUCCAUGUCCUCUCACCUUAAUAAAAUGUUGUUUAACUUGGUUCUCUUUUAAAUUCCCACUUGAAUUUAUAGCUAAAGAUGAGUUGAGAACUCCAAAACUAAAAUAUACCAAAUUAUAAGCCAAUUAAUCAGCCAAUAUUUGGCUAUUUUAAUAUAUAGGACAGCUGAGCAGAAGAAGAUGCUGAUAAAUGAAUGAACAAAAUGAAUGUGAGUGGCAGCAAUUUCGUGUAUGAUUUGCCAUCAUUAAAUUGUAUUAUAGCAUCAUUAUUAUGACAAUUAACCACAUUGAUCUUUAGAUAUCAGAUAUAUAUAAACUAUAAAGCACCCCUGAAGUGAGACCACGCCAGCUUCUGAAAAAAUCUGAAGCAAGUCGAUCAGGGUGGGCAGGAAGUAUGGCAGGCGAACGCAGCUCUCGUUCCCUCUCAGGGAACCAGGGUUACAUACGUAACCUGAGACAUUCCCUUUCAAGGGAGCCUCGAGCUGAGUUAGAACGCGGUGGGAACCCCAUACCCACUACACCAUACUGAGAAACACCCGUUCUGUGUGAAGUCUUUGUGCACACCAAGAGGCAAGCAACCUAUAGCCCCUGAAGUGGAGAAGUCAAGGUCAUAAAAUCUAUCAAAUGUAUGCAGAGAGGACCAUCCUGCUGCAUUACAAAUGUCAAGAAGGGAAACACCCUGAAUCAAGGCCGUUAGAGGCCGCCAUAACCCUAGUAGAAUGGGCCCGAACAGCCAUAGGUGAAGGCUGUUCGGCUACUUCAUAAGCCAAUGAUAUAGCCUCGACUAUCCAUUUGCUCAUAACCUGUUUAGAUGCAGGGGACCCAACUCUUGAGUGACCCAAAGUGGACAAAUAAUUGUUCAGACUUACGCCACAGGGCAGCUCUGUGAACGUAGGCAUCUAAUGCCCGAACUGGAGAUAACAGGUUCAGUCGUUCAUGAUCUGGGGUAUUAAAAGGUGGAGGAUAAAAUGCCUGCAGCACUAUAGGUCCCCCAACUAGUGCAGGUCUAAACCUCAGUGUACUGUACCACGGAGAAAACGCGUAAUAAGAGGAUCUCGAUUGAACAGCCACUUCGGUGCCCUGAAACGGAUAACCGGCAGGGAACAACUGACUUGACUGUUCUAUAACCCUCCUCGGAGGACCGUUUGGGGAUGCAGACACCUCGGUGCCCUGAAACCGAUAACCGGCAGGAAACAACCGAACUGACAGCGCUGCGACUCCCCUCAGAGAAUCGCACCCCAGAGGAAAAACGAUUUCUCAAAACCAUCCCUUGGUUGCACAGUCACUACGGUGCCCUGAAGCGACGAACCGGCAGGGAACAACCAAACUGACCGUUAUCCAACCCUCCUCAGAGGAUCGUAUGGGGACGCUGACACCUCGGUGCCCUGAACGGCGAACCAGCAGGGAACAACUGAACUGGCAGCGCUGCGACCCUCCUCAGAGAGUCACACCCCAGAGGUCGCUGAGGAAAAACGAUUUCUUAAAACCGUCCCUGCCCCGGAGGAGCCCUCAGAAGCCUGAUAGCCUUGUUUUUUGUGACAGUACUUUUUUUCUAAGCUUUAUUAGAGAUAACGACAGUCCUCAGAUCUUGCCUACCUCUAACUACCUUAGUUCCUACGACCCCCCUCGGAGGAUCAUUGGAAAAAGCAGCUUUUUAUAUUUGAAGGCUCGUUUGGGGACACUGACACCUUGGUGCCCUGAAACGGCGAACCGGCAGGGUUUUGUACUUUGUGCUGCGAGGAGCUUAAUAGGCUGAGACUGCUCCCGUCCAGCAGUCUCAGGAACAUUAGAUUGGUGAGGAAGAAACCUUUGGAAUGCCGCUGAAUGGCUUGUUUCUUAGUCUUCUUGAAAGUGGAGCGUCCAGAAGAACAGACAUAUUUAUAUCUUUAUUGUCCCUUUUUUUUACAUCAGAAAAAACAUAAAUAUAUACACAUAGGCCAAUAUAUAGUUCUGUGGCCACCAGCGGGAAAAAACCGAACUGGCAGCGCUGUGACCCUCCUCCUCUGAGAGUCGCCCCUCACAUUCUUCCAUGUCCUUAUAUACACUUUACCCACCAGGGCUGCCUAAUAAAAAUGUAUUCAUUAUUUAUGAUGGCUGGUGGGUAACGUCGGGGUUAAUAACGAUGACACCGACUUGGGAUAGAGAAAGCUCGUAAGCGUCACUUUAACCUGAGGCACUGUCAUACUAUGAUACUCAAUACCCAAACAUUACUAGUUAGACAUCUGGGGAUUAAACGCAUAAAAUACAAACCGGUUUAUUCCACAAUCUCGACACCUCAGUGAGAUAAGGGAAAAAAACGCAGUCACCUACGAGGAGGCUGAGAUAAAGAGUUUUUCUGUUUUAAGAUAAAUUUCAUCUAAAAAAAAAAAAAAA
This is a non-coding RNA of Pimephales promelas (fathead minnow), 3481 nucleotides long. The record is from RefSeq and is a predicted model, not a curated record. NCBI's taxonomy places the organism in Eukaryota, Metazoa, Chordata, Actinopteri, Cypriniformes, Leuciscidae.